Molecule: ribosomal RNA, 795 nt
Filed under: uncultured bacterium
Lineage: Bacteria
Description: bacterial SSU rRNA
Rfam family: Bacterial small subunit ribosomal RNA
Source: RNAcentral
AGAGUUUGAUCCUGGCUCAGAUUGAACGCUGGCGGCGUGCCUAACACAUGCAAGUCGAGCGGUAACAGGUGUAGCAAUACAUGCUGACGAGCGGCGAACGGGUGAGUAAUGCUUCGGAAUCUGCCCAAUGGUGGGGAAUAACCAGCCGAAAGGUUGGCUAAUACCGCAUAAGUCCUACGGGAGAAAGCAGGGGAUCGUAAGACCUUGCGCCGAUGGAUGAGCCGAAGUCGGAUUAGCUAGUUGGUAGGGUAACGGCCUACCAAGGCGACGAUCCGUAGCUGGUCUGAGAGGACGACCAGCCACACUGGGACUGAGACACGGCCCAGACUCCUACGGGAGGCAGCAGUGGGGAAUAUUGGACAAUGGGGGAAACCCUGAUCCAGCGACGCCGCGUGUGUGAAGAAGGCCUGCGGGUUGUAAAGCACUUUUAGUGGGGAUGAAAAGCUCAGGGCUAACACCUCUGGGUCUUGACCUAACCCACAGAAAAAGCACCGGCUAACUCUGUGCCAGCAGCCGCGGUAAUACAGAGGGUGCAAGCGUUAAUCGGAAUUACUGGGCGUAAAGCGUGCGUAGACGGUUAUGUAAGUCGGGUGUGAAAGCCCCGGGCUCAACCUGGGAAUGCCAUUCGAGACUGCAUAGCUAGGGUGCGGAAGAGGGAAGCGGAAUUUCCGGUGUAGCGGUGAAAUGCGUAGAUAUCGGAAGGAACACCAGUGGCGAAAGCGGCUUCCUGGUCCAGCACCGACGUUCAGGCACGAAAGCGUGGGGAGCAAACAGGAUUAGAUACCCUAGUAGUCC